AGGGUUUGAUUCUGGCUCAGGAUGAACGCUGGCGGCGUGCUUAACACAUGCAAGUCGAGCGAAGCAUUUCAUCAGAAGUUUUCGGACGGAAGAUGAUCUGACUGAGCGGCGGACGGGUGAGUAACGCGUGGGUAACCUGCCCCAUACAGGGGAAUAACAGCUGGAAACGGCUGCUAAUGCCGCAUAAGCGCACAGGACGGCAUCGUCCAGUGUGAAAAGCCGAGACGGUAUGGGAUGGACCCGCGUCUGAUUAGCUGGUUGGUGAGGUAACGGCCCACCAAGGCGACGAUCAGUAGCCGACCUGAGAGGGUGACCGGCCACAUUGGGACUGAGACACGGCCCAA
This 344-nucleotide ribosomal RNA is filed under the name uncultured bacterium. RNAcentral describes it as "bacterial SSU rRNA". It matches the Rfam family "Bacterial small subunit ribosomal RNA", at positions 8 to 334 of the family's 1533-position model. The record is from RNAcentral.